RNAcentral lists this ribosomal RNA (460 nucleotides) under uncultured bacterium. RNAcentral describes it as "partial 16S ribosomal RNA". It matches the Rfam family "Bacterial small subunit ribosomal RNA", at positions 338 to 795 of the family's 1533-position model. The record is from RNAcentral.
CCUCCGGGAGGCAGCAGUGAGGAAUAUUGGUCAAUGGGCGCGAGCCUGAACCAGCCAAGUAGCGUGAAGGAUGACUGCCCUACGGGUUGUAAACUUCUUUUAUCAAGGAACAAAGUGAGGUACGUGUGCCUUUUUUUAUGUACUUUAUGAAUAAGGAUCGGCUAACUCCGUGCCAGCAGCCGCGGUAAUACGGAGGAUCCGAGCGUUAUCCGGAUUUUUUUGGUUUAAAGGGAGCGUAAAUGGGUUGUUAAGUUAGGUGUGAAAGUUUGGGGCUCAACCGUAAAAUUGCAGUUGAUACUGGCAGUCUUGAGUACAGUUGAGGUAGGCGGAAUGCGUGGUGUAGCGGUGAAAUGCUUAGAUAUCACGAAGAACUCCGAUUGCGAAGGCAGCUUACUAAACUGCCACUGACAUUGAUGCUCGAAAGUGUGGGUAUCGAACAGGAUUAGAUACCCGGGUAGUC